RNAcentral lists this ribosomal RNA (430 nucleotides) under uncultured bacterium. RNAcentral's name for it is "partial 16S ribosomal RNA". It matches the Rfam family "Bacterial small subunit ribosomal RNA", at positions 354 to 796 of the family's 1533-position model. The record is from RNAcentral.
GUGGGGAAUAUUGCACAAUGGGCGAAAGCCUGAUGCAGCAACGCCGCGUGAGGGAUGACGGCCUUCGGGUUGUAAACCUCUUUUAGUAGGGAAGAAGCGAAAGUGACGGUACCUGCAGAAAAAGCACCGGCUAACUACGUGCCAGCAGUCGCGGUAAUACGUAGGGUGCAAGCGUUGUCCGGAAUUAUUGGGCGUAAAGAGCUCGUAGGCGGCUUGUCGCGUCUGCCGUGAAAACCCAGGGCUCAACCCUGGGCGUGCGGUGGGUACGGGCAGGCUAGAGUGCGGUAGGGGAGAUUGGAAUUCCUGGUGUAGCGGUGGAAUGCGCAGAUAUCAGGAGGAACACCGAUGGCGAAGGCAGAUCUCUGGGCCGUAACUGACGCUGAGGAGCGAAAGCAUGGGGAGCGAACAGGAUUAGAUACCCCUGUAGUCC